CCUUCUACCACUGCCUUAGUCAUCUCUGGCUGCUGGAAGAGAAUACUGUCGACUGGAUCGCUUCAACACAUCUUUCCCACAGCUCUGGAGCCUGGAACAGCUGAGGACCCAGUAGCUGUGCCGGGACGGGCCUAGGAGCUGCGAAUUCAAAAGAUGAAGAAGGCAAAGUCCCACGUGAAGGACUUCUUUUACUGGACGGGCUAUUCUGAUUGGCGAAGACGAACCACCACCUAAAGCGAAUGAUAAAUACUACAAUGAAAACAAAGCGAGUACGAUCGAGAGUGACAGGGAGACACUUUAAACUGGAUGACCCAGAAAGCCUAUCUGAGGGUGUGUUGUGAAUAACCAGAGCCGGCCAUGCAAAAAUCUCCAGGAGAAGAACAUGCUCGGAGGGAGGGACCUGCCGGUGCAAAGGCCAAAAGUCUCCACUUCCUCGUGACAACCCUGAGAGGUAGGAGUUAAUACGCCCAGAUGUCAAUGAGGGUCCUAUUUGUAUACUUUCCACAAAGCCCGCCACAGUAUGGGGCUUGCA
Myotis myotis is the source of this 532-nucleotide long non-coding RNA. RefSeq lists it as uncharacterized. The record is from RefSeq and is a predicted model, not a curated record. NCBI's taxonomy places the organism in Eukaryota, Metazoa, Chordata, Mammalia, Chiroptera, Vespertilionidae. The transcript has 3 exons.